AUACGUAGGGGACGAGCGUUGUCCGGAAUUACUGGGCGUAAAGGGCGCGCAGGCGGAUAUUUAAGUCAGCUGUAAAAGGCAUGAGCUCAACUCAUGUAUGCGGUUGAAACUGGGUAUCUAGAGUGCUGGAGAGGUAGGCGGAAUUCCCGGUGUAGCGGUGAAAUGCGUAGAUAUCGGGAAGAACACCAGUGGCGAAGGCGGCUUACUGGCCAGCAACUGACGCUGAGGCGCGAAAGCCAGGGGAGCGAACGGGAUUAGAGACCCCGGUAGUCCUGGCCGUAAACGAUGAAUGCUAGGUGUGGGUGUCGAGAGGCAUCCGUGCCGGAGUUAACGCGUUAAGCAUUCCGCCUGGGGAGUACGAUCGCAAGAUUGAAACUCAAAGGAAUUGGCGGGG
This 394-nucleotide ribosomal RNA is filed under the name uncultured bacterium. Its description in RNAcentral is "partial 16S ribosomal RNA". It matches the Rfam family "Bacterial small subunit ribosomal RNA", at positions 523 to 918 of the family's 1533-position model. The record is from RNAcentral.